RNAcentral lists this ribosomal RNA (464 nucleotides) under uncultured bacterium. Its description in RNAcentral is "partial 16S ribosomal RNA". It matches the Rfam family "Bacterial small subunit ribosomal RNA", at positions 339 to 795 of the family's 1533-position model. The record is from RNAcentral.
CUACGGGAUGCAGCAGUGGGGAAUAUUGCACAAUGGGCGCAAGCCUGAUGCAGCCAUGCCGCGUGUAUGAAGAAGGCCUUCGGGUUGUAAAGUACUUUCAGCGGGGAGGAAGGGAGUAAAGUUAAUACCUUUGCUCAUUGACGUUACCCGCAGAAGAAGCACCGGCAAACUCCGUGCCAGCAGCCGCGGUAAUACGGAGGGUGCAAGCGUUAAUUGGAAUUACUGGGCGUAAAGCGCACGCAGGCGGUUUGUUAAGUCAGAUGUGAAAUCCCCGGGCUCAACCUGGGAACUGCAUCUGAUACUGGCAAGCUUGAGUCUCGUAGAGGGGGGUAGAAUUCCAGGUGUAGCGGUGAAAUGCGUAGAGAUCUGGAGGAAUACCGGUGGCGAAGGCGGCCCCCUGGACGAAGACUGACGCUCAGGUGCGAAAGCGUGGGGAGCAAACAGGAUUAGAUACCCUCGUAGUC